Molecule: ribosomal RNA, 396 nt
Filed under: uncultured bacterium
Lineage: Bacteria
Description: bacterial SSU rRNA
Rfam family: Bacterial small subunit ribosomal RNA
Source: RNAcentral
AUUGAACGCUGGCGGCAUGCCUUACACAUGCAAGUCGAACGGCAGCACGGGAGCAAUCCUGGUGGCGAGUGGCGAACGGGUGAGUAAUGUAUCGGAACGUACCUUUCAGUGGGGGAUAACGUAGCGAAAGUUACGCUAAUACCGCAUAUUCUGUGAGCAGGAAAGCAGGGGAUCGCAAGACCUUGCGCUGAUUGAGCGGCCGAUAUCAGAUUAGCUAGUUGGUGAGGUAAAGGCUCACCAAGGCGACGAUCUGUAGCGGGUCUGAGAGGAUGAUCCGCCACACUGGAACUGAGACACGGUCCAGACUCCUACGGGAGGCAGCAGUGGGGAAUUUUGGACAAUGGGGGCAACCCUGAUCCAGCCAUGCCGCGUGAGUGAAGAAGGCCUCGGUUGUAA